UUUUUUUUUCUUUUUUUUUUUUUGGCUUGGGUCCCACUGGACUCUUCCCUGCCUAUAAAAGGCUAAAGCCUUCUGCAUUAGGAUGCAAGAGAGAAAUUAGCAAUAGACGACUCCACAUAUAAAUUAUUAGAAAUGGGGAUAAUGAAAGAGUGUUGGAUAUUGGUGAUGAUUUUACUAUUGCGAGGGAGUUGGUGCUCUGAUGGUUGUUUGGAGCAUGAGAGAAUUGCUCUUUUGCAACUCAAGUUUGAGUUCUUUUCUUCUUCUUAUGAGAUGCCUUCCAGGGGUUUAUUUUAUGGUUCUCGUGAUUAUGAUUAUGAUAUGGCUCUUUGGGGUGUAAAUACUGACUGCUGUAAUUGGGGAGGGGUAAAGUGCAACACCACCACAGGGCAUGUUGUGGAACUCUCUCUUGUGGGUAUAAGAAGAGGAGGAGAUUGGUAUCUAAAUGCUUCUUUGUUUCUACCCUUUCAACAACUGAAGAAUCUUUCCUUACCGGGAAAUAAUAUAGCUGGUUGCAUUAAAAAUGAAGGUCCAUCAAUUUCAUUAUUAUAACAUUUGCAAAUUGUUUGAAAUGCACUUAAUGAGCUUUUUCCCUUCCCUUAGUUAUUUAUUUCUUUAUUAAAUUUAUUUAAUGUUUAACUACAACUCUUUGUAUAGGUUUUGAAAGGUUAUCAGUACUUGACAAUUUGGAGCUUCUUGAUUUGGGUUUCAAUUAUUUCAACAACAACAUCUUAUCAUCUCUAAGUGGUCUUUCAUCUUUAAAAUUUUUAUAUCUAUAUGAAAAUAGAUUGAAAGGAAUAAUUAA
This 802-nucleotide unclassified non-coding RNA is filed under the name Hevea brasiliensis (rubber tree). Lineage: Eukaryota; Viridiplantae; Streptophyta; Magnoliopsida; Malpighiales; Euphorbiaceae. The record is from RNAcentral.